RNAcentral lists this long non-coding RNA (528 nucleotides) under Fukomys damarensis (Damara mole-rat). RNAcentral describes it as "lncRNA (ENSFDAG00000023349.1)". The record is from RNAcentral. Lineage: Eukaryota; Metazoa; Chordata; Mammalia; Rodentia; Bathyergidae.
UAAACGUGCCACUGAAAUAAAAUAUGACUAACAGACACCUAUUGCUCACCAGAUCCCUUAAUGAAGUGAGAGAAAAUGGCAAUAAAGAAGCAAUUACAAUGUGAAACCACAAAGAGUAAUAAGAACACUGUUGGAGCCCCCCGCCCCCAUCUGGCUCCAUGCCCUUCCUUCUGCUCACCUCAUGAUGAUUUUCACCAGUUCAGCCUACUUGAGGAUUUCCACUGACUUCCUGGAGCACCAGUCUUGUCUGCUCCCUGCCAUCCACAUCUCCCCACGAGCUCCAGCCACACUGGACUCUACACUGCUACCUCAGCAUGCUGCCUAGGUCCGCUGUCUUUUGAAUUUGCUAACAGCCUUUUCUGUUUCCUGCAUGUUUGAUUCUGUCUGUCCUUCUUCCAGUGAAUGGGAGGCCUGUGAAGGCGGGCACCAGCUCACCUUUGCUCAGUGAGAUGUACUUAAAUCACCCUUAGCUCUCAGCCAGGCACACAGUCUCCACAAGCAUGUGCUAAAUGGAUGAAUGAGUGAACA